RNAcentral lists this ribosomal RNA (200 nucleotides) under uncultured bacterium. RNAcentral describes it as "partial 16S ribosomal RNA". It matches the Rfam family "Bacterial small subunit ribosomal RNA", at positions 29 to 258 of the family's 1533-position model. The record is from RNAcentral.
AACGAACGCUGGCGGCAGGCUUAACACAUGCAAGUCGAACGCCCCGCAAGGGGAGUGGCAGACGGGUGAGUAACGCGUGGGAAUCUACCUAUCUCUACGGAAUAACCCAGGGAGACUUGGACUAAUACCGUAUACGCCCUUUUGGGGAAAGAUUUAUCGGAGAUGGAUGAGCCCGCGUUGGAUUAGCUAGUUGGUGGGGU